UACGGGAGGAGCAGUGGGGAAUAUUGCACAAUGGGCGCAAGCCUGAUGCAGCCAUGCCGCGUGUAUGAAAAAGGCCUUCGGGUUGUAAAGUACUUUCAGUCGUGAGGAAGGUGUUAAGGUUAAUAACCUUAGCAAUUGACGUUAGCGACAGAAGAAGCACCGGCUAACUCCGUGCCAGCAGCCGCGGUAAUACGGAGGGUGCGAGCGUUAAUCGGAAUUACUGGGCGUAAAGGGCACGCAGGCGGUUAAUUAAGUUGGAUGUGAAAUCCCCGGGCUUAACCUGGGAAUGGCAUUCAAGACUGGUUAGCUAGAGUCUUGUAGAGGGGGUAGAAUUCCAUGUGUAGCGGUGAAAUGCGUAGAGAUGUGGAGGAAUACCGGUGGCGAAGGCGGCCCCUGGACAAAGACUGACGCUCAUGUGCGAAAGCGUGGGGAGCAAACAGGGAUUAGAUACC
Molecule: ribosomal RNA, 452 nt
Filed under: uncultured bacterium
Lineage: Bacteria
Description: bacterial SSU rRNA
Rfam family: Bacterial small subunit ribosomal RNA
Source: RNAcentral